CACCAAAAGAUAUCCUUUGCCGACUAACCAAAGUUUAGAAGCCAAACAUUCACUUUCGGCGACUAAUGGUUUAGUCACCAAAAGAUAUCCUUUGCCGACUAACCAAAGUUUAGAAGCCAAACAUUUCACUUUCGGCUACCAAAAAUAGUUGAGUUGCCAAUACUAUCGCCGACAGGGUAUAGGCGACGUCCUUGGCGACAAAAGAAUUUAGUCGCUAAUUAGUUUCAGCGGCCAAAAUGAGACUUUUGGUGACCAAUAUUUUGAUCACCAAAACUGUCAUUUCCUGUAGUGUAGGAUUUAAUUAUAAUACAAAAUAAAAUACAGAAAAAUUAUUCUUUAUUAGACCAUUUUGUAAAAUUUUAUGAAAUUAAAGACUAAAAUGCAAUUGACCUAAGGCUUAGAGUUUCUAGUGUGAUUACCAAAAAUUGGGAUCUCUACAAAAUUCCUUUUCUUCAAGCUAUGUAUCUUUAUACACUUACAAUAUAAGAGGGAGUUGCUUUUAUCUAUAGUAGAAUGGCUCUCUUUUUUCUUGCCAUUCCUGCCCUUGUAAUUUUGUGUUGUGUUUUUUGUUUUUCACUUUUGCUGUGGGACAAUUCUGUAAUCUCACUGCUACUCUGUUUUUAUGAGGUGAGCCAGCCACGUCUCCUACUUAUGUACUCUCCAUCUAUUUUCUUUGCUUUUCUACUUUCUCACCAUUUUGUCUCCUCCCUCAACUUACAUCCUCUGCGCCUCUCUCUCUCUUUUAACGCUGAUCGGCUCUCUCUCAACCGUUAACGACGAUCACCACAUUCACGAUGCCGGCAACAACUACAAGCGUAUCUCAAUCACUGCGGAGGCUUAUCUCCAUCUACGACCAGAGAACUUCCGACUCCAAUUUAGGUGGUAAGGCAUCACUAAUGAAUUAGUGUACUUAAAGCAUGCGGCUUGGGCACUUCCAUUGGCGUCCACCUUCUAUCCUGUUGAAGAUUUUUAAAGGUAUAUUUGCAUAUGUAUGUAAUGCAUCUCCAGAGGCAACGUAUGUGUAUCGGACAUGGACAUGCGUCGGACACACGGUGGACAAGUAUUCGACACUCUACCGAAGGUGUCCCUUUUUGUUUUUGAAUUUUUCCAGUCGGACAUGCUUGGGGCACUCUCUUGGACAUGUUAUGGAUAGAGAGGGAUAGAAACCCUAAUCUGUUAAAGUUAGAGAGAGAGAGACAGAGAGAGAGAGAGGGAAAGAAAGGGUGAAGAAGAACCUGUUGAAAUGAAGCCCUAGAUUAGGUAUGUUCUUAGUUUCUUCAAAUCUCUUCUUCGAUCUUCUUCUUUUCUUCAUUUUUCUUGUUCUUUCUUCGGUUCUUCUGUUCUUCUGUUCGUCUAUGUUCAUCUCUCUCUCUCUCUCUCUCUCGCUAGUGUUCUGACUCUCUCUCCUAGCGUUUGACUCACUCGAUAUCUCUGUUCUAUUCUAUUAAUUUUUUUUUCCUAUGGUAAAUUACAAAUAUACACCCUGAGAUUUGCUUAAAGUAAAGAUUAUAAAUACCCCAUUGUUAGAA
Camellia sinensis is the source of this 1529-nucleotide non-coding RNA. Lineage: Eukaryota; Viridiplantae; Streptophyta; Magnoliopsida; Ericales; Theaceae. The record is from RefSeq and is a predicted model, not a curated record.